Myotis lucifugus (little brown bat) is the source of this 3516-nucleotide RNA transcript. It is a transcript of the gene named autophagy related 4B cysteine peptidase, with no coding region annotated. Lineage: Eukaryota; Metazoa; Chordata; Mammalia; Chiroptera; Vespertilionidae. The record is from RefSeq and is a predicted model, not a curated record. The transcript is spliced from 14 exons.
AGGACCGACGCGGUGUUCAGUCGGCUGCCGGAGGAGGAAGAUGGACGCAGGCACUGACUCUGGCUUUGAAUCUGAAAGGCUCAGGAAGUGGGGUGGCAGGUCCCACUGCCUCAUCCCUACAUGUCCCUGCACAUCUGAUCAUUGUGUAUCUUUGGUUUCAAUAGCUACUCUGACCUAUGACACUCUCCGAUUUGCUGAGUUUGAAGAUUUCCCGGAGACCUCGGAGCCUGUUUGGAUAUUGGGUAGAAAAUACAGCGUCUUCACAGAAAAGGACGAGAUCUUAUCUGAUGUGGCGUCCAGACUCUGGUUUACAUACAGGAAGAACUUCCCAGCCAUUGGGGGGACCGGCCCCACCUCGGACACAGGCUGGGGCUGCAUGCUCCGCUGUGGACAGAUGAUCUUCGCCCAGGCCCUGCUGUGCCGGCACUUAGGCCGAGAUUGGAGGUGGACACAGCGGAAGAGGCAGCCGGACAGCUACUUCCACGUCCUCAACGCAUUCAUCGACAGGAAAGACAGUUACUACUCUAUCCACCAGAUAGCGCAAAUGGGAGUUGGCGAGGGCAAGUCUAUUGGCCAGUGGUACGGGCCCAACACAGUCGCCCAGGUUCUCAAGAAACUUGCUAUCUUCGACACAUGGAGCGCCCUGGCUGUCCACAUAGCAAUGGACAACACGGUGGUGAUGGAGGACAUCAGAAGGUUAUGUAGGAGCAGCCUUCCAUGUGCGGAGGCCACUGCGUUUCCUGCAGACUCUGAAGGGCACUGUAAUGGACUCCCUGCGGGAGCCGAGGUCACCAACAGGCCAUCCCUGUGGCGACCCCUGGUGCUGCUCAUCCCCCUGCGCCUGGGGCUCACGGACAUCAAUGAGGCCUACGUGGAGACGCUGAAGGGCUGUUUCAUGAUGCCUCAGUCCCUGGGAGUGAUUGGAGGGAAGCCCAACAGUGCCCACUACUUCAUCGGCUAUGUGGGUGAGGAGCUCAUCUACUUGGACCCCCACACGACACAGCCAGCUGUGGAGUUAACUGACAGCUUCUUGAUCCCAGAUGAAAGUUUCCACUGCCAGCACCCCCCGAGCAGGAUGAGCAUUGGGGAGCUAGACCCGUCCAUUGCUGUGGGUUUUUUCUGUAAGACUGAGGAUGACUUUAAUGACUGGUGCCAGCAAGUAAAAAAGCUGUCACUGCUUGGAGGUGCCCUGCCCAUGUUUGAGCUGGUGGAGCAGCAGCCUUCCCACCUGGCCUGCCCUGAUGUCCUGAACCUGUCCUUAGGGGCCUUCUCCCUCGGACAGACCCUCAACUCUCUCCAAGUGUACUGAGCAUAUGGCACACAGAAAACGGAGACUUGGCAUUGAGGCUGUGAGCACAUCCAGUUCACACCUCCAUCUGUACCCGGGAAGACCAAUGUGAGGACCAUGAUGAGCCUGUGGAACUGUGUAUUGAAAGUCACUGAGGACAAAGAUGAUGGAGCCCACUGUCCCGUUUCUGUGGAGAUCAUUGAGGAUGAUGACGGAGCCAGCUGUCCCAUUUCCGUGAAGAUCACUGAGGAGGAGGAUGGAGCCCGCUGACCCCUGUCUCUGUGAAGAUCACUGAGGAGAAGGAUGGAGCCAUGACAAUGGAGCCUGCUGCCUGACAGAAACCACAUUGGGGUCAGGGUGCUGGCAUUGAGACUCAGGACAGGUGCCCCAUCUGUCCCAGAUGGUACAGGGUUGGCCCUCCUCUUGGGACUGGUGGCCCUUGCCCUCAGCCCCGUCAUGUGCCCCUAGGCUCUGGUGAGCAAUGUGUCUGCUCCUCCUCUUGGUAAGUUUCUGGCAUCUCUUUCCUGCUUCCAUCCCUGCCAAUGAGGCCCCUGGCCAACUCAGACCUGAAGGCUGCACCUCUGCUGGCAAGAGUCCUGAUGUCCUCUUGCCGCCUACCACCCUGAGCAAGCACCCUUGCCUGUUGGGCACGGUGCCAGGGCCAGCUCCAGCACAAGCAAGCCAGCAGAUUCUUCUGACGUAGAGCGACUGGAAAGAUUCUUUGACUCAGAAGAUGAGGACUUCGAAAUCUUGUCCCUUUGAAAAUCCUAAAGUCGGGGGAUAUCUCGACUGGCCCUUGCUGGGGUGCAUUUGAGAGCCCAGCUUGGCCUCAGGGCGCUUGGUGCCACCGCAUUUCAUCCAUCCUGCCCACCUGCCCACCGCCCAUGUCCUGGCCGCCUCUGCCCUCGACGGGGGACUGCAUUAUGCUCAAGGCCUCACUGCAGGAGUGGGACUGCUUGGCCCAGACACUUCGGGCUGCUGGAGAGAACCAGGAAUCGCAGGGAGCAGAGCAGCGGCAGGGCUUGAGUGUUCACGUCACCUUCGUCCUGCUUCCUUCAGGCUCUCAGUUCUAGGUUUUCUUUGGAAUUAAAGUCCUGUUUGAAGUUACUCGACACAGACAUGCAUUUCUGUUGGGCCUGUUCUGAGUCCAAGAAGACUGGAGACCAAAUGAGAAGUGGCCCUGGGACUAAGCCUGCAAGCCCUCCACCUGCAGCCCUCCCGUGGCUCUACCAGGCUGCCUAGUGGGAGACAGGAAGGAGUGACCACCUGGCAUCUCUUGGCUUUGGAGAGAGAAAUAGCAGAGAGGUAGGGCAUGGUGCAAACCAGAGACCACCAUGCGUGUGACUUGCCAGGAAAGAGCUACAGGUAGAGCCCAAGUGGACUCACUUUCCUCACCUUUUGGUUCCAGCAUUUUGAGACACCCACGUGCUGCUGCUUACUUGUUGCACUGGCUUUCCCUGGGUGGGCGGUGGGUGGUGGGUGAGUGGGGAGCUGCCUUGGUCUGUGAUCCUUGGGCCCAUGCGGGACAUGGGGGCACGGCAAGCCUGGCAGGCAGAGGCUAAGGGCACCACAGAACUGCGCUCCCGGUACUGAAGCUUCAGAUGGUUUGGGGCCAAAGGGUGAAACCCUGCUCAUGGUGCAAGAUAGGCACCCCAUCGCUCAUCACGUCACUUGGAGACAUUUCCAGGUCCUUCUCAGCACUGACUGACAGCACCUGCAGCCCUGAACCCUGAUUGGGCCCAGAGAGCAUGGCUUCCAUGCAGGCUUCGAGUCCUGAAGAGUAGCCUCCGUGAGACCUUCCAACAGGCACCUGGGGAGCUCAGGGAGGUGGCGCCUUCUUCCCAGGGUCUUCCUUGCAGAGCCCCGCCCUCCCUCGGCAUCUGCACCUGGGACCGCGGGCGGGGGCCCACCUGAUGGCAGAGAACACCCAGCCCCUGAGUGUCGCCGACAUAAGUUAAUUUGCUCUUGUCUCUCCCUCCUCCAGGGAAGGAGGAAGGCUGGGCGGUCUCCAUUCCUUCUGCUGCAUCUUGGAAAUGUGCCGCCCUGCCUGCUGGGCCAGGGAGUCUUACUGCAGCCCCCCGUGUGGUGCAGACGGUGGAAGUGGGUGACAGCCUGGCCAAAGGGGAGCUUUGUCUUAGUGAUUUGAGAAGGAUUACUGAAGAGAGUGUUGUCUAUUCUUAGUAGUUUGCAGUUCUUCAUCGCAAAUAACAGUUUCAGUAGAAAACAAA